GACAGAGGAUGCAAGUGUUAUCCGGAAUUACUGGGCGUAAAGCGUCUGUAGGUGGUUUGAUAAGUCAAUUGUUAAAUCUUGAUGCUUAACUUCAAAACUGCAAUUGAAACUAUUUAACUUGAGUAUGGUAGAGGUAAAAGGAAUUUUCAGUGGAGCGGUGAAAUGCGUAGAUAUUGGAAAGAACACCGAUGGCGAAAGCAUUUUACUGGGCCAUAACUGACACUCAGAGACGAAAGCUAGGGUAGCAAAUGGG
RNAcentral lists this ribosomal RNA (253 nucleotides) under uncultured bacterium. Its description in RNAcentral is "partial 16S ribosomal RNA". It matches the Rfam family "Bacterial small subunit ribosomal RNA", at positions 524 to 776 of the family's 1533-position model. The record is from RNAcentral.